GACGAACGCUGGCGGCGUGCCUAAUACAUGCAAGUCGAACGCAUUUUCUUUCACCGUAGCUUGCUACACCGAAAGAAAAUGAGUGGCGAACGGGUGAGUAACACGUGGGUAACCUGCCCAUCAGCGGGGGAUAACACUUGGAAACAGGUGCUAAUACCGCAUAAUUCCAUUUACCGCAUGGUAAAUGGAUGAAAGGCGCUUUUGCGUCACUGAUGGAUGGACCCGCGGUGCAUUAGCUAGUUGGUGGGGUAACGGCCUACCAAGGCUGCGAUGCAUAGCCGACCAGAGAGGGGGAUCGGCCACACUGGGACGGAGACACGGCCCAGACUCCUACGGGAGGCAGCAGUAGGGAAUCUUCGGCAAUGGAAGCAAUUCUGACCGAGCAACGCCGCGUGAGUGAAGAAGGUUGUCGGAUCGUAAAACUCUGUUGUUAGAGAAGAUCAAGGAUGAGAGUGGAAAGUUCAUCCCUUGACGGUAUCUAACCAGAAAGCCACGGCUAACUACGUG
RNAcentral lists this ribosomal RNA (507 nucleotides) under uncultured bacterium. RNAcentral's name for it is "partial 16S ribosomal RNA". It matches the Rfam family "Bacterial small subunit ribosomal RNA", at positions 28 to 507 of the family's 1533-position model. The record is from RNAcentral.